GACGAACGCUGGCGGCGUGCUUAACACAUGCAAGUCGAGCGGUAAGGCCCUUUCGGGGGUACACGAGCGGCGAACGGGUGAGUAACACGUGGGUGACCUGCCCUCAGCUUCUGGGAUAAGCCUGGGAAACUGGGUCUAAUACUGGAUAUGACUCCACGGUGCAUGUCGUGGGGUGGAAAGCCUUGUGCGGCUGAGGAUGGGCCCGCGGCCUAUCAGCUUGUUGGUGGGGUGANGGCCUACCAAGGCGACGACGGGUAGCCGGCCUGAGAGGGCGACCGGCCACACUGGGACUGAGACACGGCCCAGACUCCUACGGGAGGCAGCAGUGGGGAAUCUUGCGCAAUGGGCGAAAGCCUGACGCAGCGACGCCGCGUGAGGGAUGACGGCCUGGUU
This 393-nucleotide ribosomal RNA is filed under the name uncultured bacterium. Its description in RNAcentral is "bacterial SSU rRNA". It matches the Rfam family "Bacterial small subunit ribosomal RNA", at positions 28 to 424 of the family's 1533-position model. The record is from RNAcentral.